Molecule: ribosomal RNA, 497 nt
Filed under: uncultured bacterium
Lineage: Bacteria
Description: partial 16S ribosomal RNA
Rfam family: Bacterial small subunit ribosomal RNA
Source: RNAcentral
GAUGAACGCUGGCGGCGUGCCUAAUACAUGCAAGUCGAGCGAACAGAUGAGGAGCUUGCUCCUCUGACGUUAGCGGCGGACGGGUGAGUAACACGUGGAUAACCUACCUAUAAGACUGGGAUAACUUCGGGAAACCGGAGCUAAUACCGGAUAAUAUAUUGAACCGCAUGGUUCAAUAGUGAAAGACGGUUUUGCUGUCACUUAUAGGUGGAUCCGCGCCGCAUUAGCUAGUUGGUAAGGUAACGGCUUACCAAGGCAACGAUGCGUAGCCGACCUGAGAGGGUGAUCGGCCACACUGGAACUGAGACACGGUCCAGACUCCUACGGGAGGCAGCAAUAGGGAAUCUUCCGCAAUGGGCGAAAGCCUGACGGAGCAACGCCGCGUGAGUGAUGAAGGUCUUCGGAUCGUAAAACUCUGUUAUUAGGGAAGAACAAAUGUGUAAGUAACUAUGCACGUCUUGACGGUACCUAAUCAGAAAGCCACGGCUAACUACGUG